AGAGUUUGAUUAUGGCUCAGGAUAAACGCUGACAGAAUGCUUGACACAUGCAAGUCUACUUGAAUUCACUUCGGUGAUAGUAAGGUGGCGGACGGGUGAGUAACACGUAAAGAACUUGCCUUGUAGUCUGGGACAACUAUUGGAAACGAUAGCUAAUACCGGAUAUUAUGAUUUUAUCGCAUGAUAAGAUUAUGAAAGCUAUAUGCGCUACGAGAGAGCUUUGCGUCCCAUUAGCUAGUUGGUGAGGUAACGGCUCACCAAGGCGACGAUGGGUAGCCGGCCUGAGAGGGUGAACGGCCACAAGGGGACUGAGACACGGCCCUU
This 324-nucleotide ribosomal RNA is filed under the name uncultured bacterium. Its description in RNAcentral is "bacterial SSU rRNA". It matches the Rfam family "Bacterial small subunit ribosomal RNA", at positions 8 to 334 of the family's 1533-position model. The record is from RNAcentral.